Molecule: transfer RNA, 75 nt
Filed under: Chloroflexota bacterium
Lineage: Bacteria; Bacillati; Chloroflexota
Also listed under: 1 other name
Description: Chloroflexi bacterium tRNA-Arg
Rfam family: tRNA
About the family: Transfer RNA (tRNA) molecules are approximately 80 nucleotides in length. Their secondary structure includes four short double-helical elements and three loops (D, anti-codon, and T loops).
Source: RNAcentral
GCCCCCGUAGCUCAGCGGAUAGAGCACUGGUCUCCGGAACCAGAGGCGGAGGUUCGACUCCUCUCGGGGGUACCA